UGGGGAAUAUUGGGCAAUGGAGGCAACUCUGACCCAGCAACGCCGCGUGAGGGAAGAAGGUUUUCGGAUUGUAAACCUCUGUCCUAGGGGACGAAGAAAGUGACGGUACCCUAGGAGGAAGCCCCGGCUAACUACGUGCCAGCAGCCGCGGUAAUACGUAGGGGGCGAGCGUUGUCCGGAAUUACUGGGCGUAAAGGGUGCGUAGGCGGUUUGGUAAGUUAGAUGUGAAAUCCCCGGGCUUAACUCGGGAGUUGCAUUUAAAACUGCUGAACUAGAAUGCAGGAGAGGAAAGCGGAAUUCCUAGUGUAGCGGUGAAAUGCGGAGAUAUUAGGAGGAACACCAGGGGCGAAGGCGACUUACUGGGCCGUAACUGACGCUGAUGCGCGAAAGCGUGGGGAGCGAACA
Molecule: ribosomal RNA, 405 nt
Filed under: uncultured prokaryote
Description: bacterial SSU rRNA
Rfam family: Bacterial small subunit ribosomal RNA
Source: RNAcentral